Molecule: transfer RNA, 57 nt
Filed under: Ovis aries (sheep)
Lineage: Eukaryota; Metazoa; Chordata; Mammalia; Artiodactyla; Bovidae
Rfam family: tRNA
About the family: Transfer RNA (tRNA) molecules are approximately 80 nucleotides in length. Their secondary structure includes four short double-helical elements and three loops (D, anti-codon, and T loops).
Source: Rfam by way of RNAcentral
UGGCUCAGAGGUUAAAGCAUCUGCCUGCAAUGCAGGAGACCUGGGUUUGAUCCCCGG